GCGGGAGUAGCUCAGUGGUAGAGCGUUUCCUUGCCAAGGAAAAGGCCGCGGGUUCAAAUCCCGUCUCCCGCU
Candidatus Woykebacteria bacterium RBG_16_39_9b is the source of this 72-nucleotide non-coding RNA. NCBI's taxonomy places the organism in Bacteria, Candidatus Woykeibacteriota. The record is from Rfam.